This 852-nucleotide ribosomal RNA is filed under the name Wolbachia endosymbiont of Chilo sp. RNAcentral describes it as "bacterial SSU rRNA". It matches the Rfam family "Bacterial small subunit ribosomal RNA", at positions 93 to 983 of the family's 1533-position model. Lineage: Bacteria; Pseudomonadati; Pseudomonadota; Alphaproteobacteria; Rickettsiales; Anaplasmataceae. RNAcentral also lists the same sequence under 1 other name. The record is from RNAcentral.
UAGUGGCAGACGGGUGAGUAAUGUAUAGGAAUCUACCUAGUAGUACGGAAUAAUUGUUGGAAACGACAACUAAUACCGUAUACGCCCUACGGGGGAAAAAUUUAUUGCUAUUAGAUGAGCCUAUAUUAGAUUAGCUAGUUGGUGGGGUAAUAGCCUACCAAGGUAAUGAUCUAUAGCUGAUCUGAGAGGAUGAUCAGCCACACUGGAACUGAGAUACGGUCCAGACUCCUACGGGAGGCAGCAGUGGGGAAUAUUGGACAAUGGGCGAAAGCCUGAUCCAGCCAUGCCGCAUGAGUGAAGAAGGCCUUUGGGUUGUAAAGCUCUUUUAGUGAGGAAGAUAAUGACGGUACUCACAGAAGAAGUCCUGGCUAACUCCGUGCCAGCAGCCGCGGUAAUACGGAGAGGGCUAGCGUUAUUCGGAAUUAUUGGGCGUAAAGGGCGCGUAGGCUGGUUAAUAAGUUAAAAGUGAAAUCCCGAGGCUUAACCUUGGAAUUGCUUUUAAAACUAUUAAUCUAGAGAUUGAAAGAGGAUAGAGGAAUUCCUGAUGUAGAGGUAAAAUUCGUAAAUAUUAGGAGGAACACCAGUGGCGAAGGCGUCUAUCUGGUUCAAAUCUGACGCUGAAGCGCGAAGGCGUGGGGAGCAAACAGGAUUAGAUACCCUGGUAGUCCACGCUGUAAACGAUGAAUGUUAAAUAUGGGGAGUUUACUUUCUGUAUUACAGCUAACGCGUUAAACAUUCCGCCUGGGGACUACGGUCGCAAGAUUAAAACUCAAAGGAAUUGACGGGGACCCGCACAAGCGGUGGAGCAUGUGGUUUAAUUCGAUGCAACGCGAAAAACCUUACCACUCCUUG